UACGAAGGGGGCUAGCGUUGCUCGGAAUGACUGGGCGUAAAGGGCGCGUAGGCGGUGUGUCAAGUCAGGCGUGAAAGCCCCGGGCUCAACCUGGGAACCGCGCUUGAGACUGGCACGCUCGAGUUCGGGAGAGGAUGGUGGAAUUCCCAGUGUAGAGGUGAAAUUCGUAGAUAUUGGGAAGAACACCGAUGGCGAAGGCAGCCAUCUGGACCGACACUGACGCUGAGGCGCGAAAGCGUGGGGAGCAAACAGG
RNAcentral lists this ribosomal RNA (253 nucleotides) under uncultured bacterium. Its description in RNAcentral is "partial 16S ribosomal RNA". It matches the Rfam family "Bacterial small subunit ribosomal RNA", at positions 524 to 776 of the family's 1533-position model. The record is from RNAcentral.